UAGCUAUUGUAAUGUUUAAAAUCAUUGAGCUUAGCAUUGUUUUGAUGCUUGGGCUCCAUGAUUUAUUUAUUUAUUUAGUAGCACAAAGACACAUAAGAUAUAUAAAAGAAGUGACUGACUGAAUUAUGCAGGAGAGGUAAGAAACCCCCAAGGGCUUAUAGUGAAACAUCCACUCUGGAUUUUCAAUUGAUAUUAUAAACAAUUAUUAUAAAUAAUAAUAAAAUAAUAAUAAUAAUAAUAAUACUGACAAACGAUUAAGCAAAAUAUACACAACAUAUAUACUGAAAUUUUAACCAUGACAUAAGUAUUUUCUCAUGCUUGACUUAAAUGCUGACAAUUCAAUUCAAUUUUAUUAUAUAGCGCCAAAUCACAACAACAGUUAUCUCACAGCGCUUUUCAUAAAAGAGCAGGUCUAGACCGUACUCUGUGAUGUUAUUUACAGAAACCCAACAGUUCCAACCAAGAGCAAGCACUAGGCGACAGAGGCAAGGAAAAACUUCCUUUUAAGAGGCCGAAACCUCGAGCAGAACCAUGGCUCAGGGUGGACGGCCAUCUCCUGCGUCUGCGAACAGGGCGAGAGGCGUGUCUGCGUCUGCGUGACAGUGUGAACAAACAGCUUGCUGGAUGUAACAGCUUCUAUUUACAAGCUCACAGUGGCAACGUCUAUUUAUGUCACUGAUGAUGCAGAACUUCUAUUGCAGAACUUGUGACAUCAUCCGCGACAUCAUGGUAUAUAGUGAUGUAACUAAUAAUUAAGCCAACAUUUCUCAUGGAGACACUGUGACAUCAUUAGUGACACAUUAGAAGUUGCCAUGGGGAGCUUAUAAAUAGACCCCGAUACAUCCUGAAACCUGUGUUUUGACCAUGCCAUGCUCACACAGACACGCCGCUCGCCCUGUUCGCAGACGUCGGAGACCCCACAAAUCUUCGGCUGUCCGCAGACGUAGGAGAGCUGUCCGACGCAGACGCUAGACAAACUGUAUUAAACAUGUAGCCCAAGCAUCAAAACAAAACUCAGCUCAGUGAUUUUAAACAUAACAAUAGCUAAAUAAGUUGUGUUGCAUUUUCUCUUUUUAAAACAUUACAUGAAAAAAGAUAUAAACCUGAAGCCGCAUAAACACUUACACACAGAAUCUGGAGCGUUCAUGGGAGACUUAAUUACAUCAGCUUCAUCAUGAAGUUCCUUUGCUGACAUCAUCAGUGACAUCAUGGAAUCCAAAGAUGUCACUAAUGAUUAAGCCAUCAAUUCUAAUGCAGAAACUGUGACAUCAUGGAAUCCAAGGAUGUCACUAAUGAUUAAGCCAUCAAUUCUAAUGCAGAAACUGUGACAUCAUCAGUGACAUAAUAGACGUUGCCACUGUGAGCUUAUAAAUAGAAGCUGUUACAUCCAGCAAGCUGUUUUGACAAUGCCACGCAGACGCAGACAUGCCUCUCGCCCUGUUCGCAGACGCAGGAGACCUCGCAAGUCCUACCGUGAGGUGUCACACCUGUCUGCACAAUGCGCAUGUUGGAUGUUGGGUUUCUGUAAAUAAUAUCGUAUGGUCUAGAGCAGCACUUUUAUGAGCGCUACUCUAACUAACUGUUGUCGUGAUUUGGCGGUAUAUAAAUAAAAUUGAAUUGAAUUGAA
Long non-coding RNA from Micropterus dolomieu (smallmouth bass), 1627 nucleotides. RefSeq lists it as uncharacterized. Lineage: Eukaryota; Metazoa; Chordata; Actinopteri; Centrarchiformes; Centrarchidae. The transcript has 2 exons. The record is from RefSeq and is a predicted model, not a curated record.